RNAcentral lists this ribosomal RNA (636 nucleotides) under Microbacterium sp. Ri2Ps_4974. Its description in RNAcentral is "bacterial SSU rRNA". It matches the Rfam family "Bacterial small subunit ribosomal RNA", at positions 382 to 1029 of the family's 1533-position model. The record is from RNAcentral. Lineage: Bacteria; Bacillati; Actinomycetota; Actinomycetes; Micrococcales; Microbacteriaceae.
CCUGAUGCAGCAACGCCGCGUGAGGGACGACGGCCUUCGGGUUGUAAACCUCUUUUAGCAGGGAAGAAGCGAAAGUGACGGUACCUGCAGAAAAAGCGCCGGCUAACUACGUGCCAGCAGCCGCGGUAAUACGUAGGGCGCAAGCGUUAUCCGGAAUUAUUGGGCGUAAAGAGCUCGUAGGCGGUUUGUCGCGUCUGCUGUGAAAACUGGAGGCUCAACCUCCAGCCUGCAGUGGGUACGGGCAGACUAGAGUGCGGUAGGGGAGAUUGGAAUUCCUGGUGUAGCGGUGGAAUGCGCAGAUAUCAGGAGGAACACCGAUGGCGAAGGCAGAUCUCUGGGCCGUAACUGACGCUGAGGAGCGAAAGGGUGGGGAGCAAACAGGCUUAGAUACCCUGGUAGUCCACCCCGUAAACGUUGGGAACUAGUUGUGGGGUCCAUUCCACGGAUUCCGUGACGCAGCUAACGCAUUAAGUUCCCCGCCUGGGGAGUACGGCCGCAAGGCUAAAACUCAAAGGAAUUGACGGGGACCCGCACAAGCGGCGGAGCAUGCGGAUUAAUUCGAUGCAACGCGAAGAACCUUACCAAGGCUUGACAUAUACGAGAACGGGCUAGAAAUAGUCAACUCUUUGGACACUC